RNAcentral lists this ribosomal RNA (253 nucleotides) under uncultured bacterium. RNAcentral describes it as "partial 16S ribosomal RNA". It matches the Rfam family "Bacterial small subunit ribosomal RNA", at positions 524 to 776 of the family's 1533-position model. The record is from RNAcentral.
UACGAAGGGUGCUAGCGUUGCUCGGAAUCACUGGGCGUAAAGGGUGCGUAGGCGGGUCUUUUAGUCCGGGGUGAAAUCCUGGAGCUCAACUCCAGAACUGCCUUUGAUACUGAGGAUCUUGAGUUCGGGAGAGGUGAGUGGAACUGCGAGUGUAGAGGUGAAAUUCGUAGAUAUUAGGAGGAACACCGGUGGCGAAGGCGGCUACCUGGACCGAUAUUGACGCUGAGACACGAAAGCGUGGGGAGCAAACAGG